This is a long non-coding RNA of Biomphalaria glabrata, 1004 nucleotides long. RefSeq lists it as uncharacterized. NCBI's taxonomy places the organism in Eukaryota, Metazoa, Mollusca, Gastropoda, Planorbidae. The record is from RefSeq and is a predicted model, not a curated record. The transcript is spliced from 3 exons.
AACAGAAAGGAUUGGAAAAUAGUCGAUGCCAACGCAGAGGCUCUUGUUCUCGUAUGAGCCAUAGUUGUCUAUUGACUGAAGGUGGUGGAGAUAAUUCAACAAGAUAAUUUACAAUGUAAUUCAAGAGAUCUGUCUAGUCUGUUGGACUGUUAAGGCACCACACAAGGUUUGUCGACCAUUCUUUUCCUCACCGUCUUUUGAAUGACUAAUUCCUGAGAAUAGUAAACCGUUAUUGUUAAAGAAUAUACAGGUAAUCAGUGCUUUUUUGUAAAGAAAUAGGUGCCGGAGCUCAGUGAUGGAUUGCCUUUUAACAACUAAUAAAUAAAUAAUAAACUUUAAAAUACAAAAGUAACUUUUUCGCUGCAUUGAAAAAAUUACUUUUGUAUUUUAAAGUUUAUUAUUUAUUUAUUAGUUGUUAAAAGGCAAUCCAUCACUGAGCUCCGGCACCUAUUUCUUUACAAAAAAGCACUGAUUACCUGUAUAUUCUUUAACAAUAACGGUUUACUAUUCUCAGGAAUUAGUCAUUCAAAAGACGGUGAGGAAAAGAAUGGUCGACAAACCUUGUGUGGUGCCUUAACAGUCCAACAGACUAAGGGAUAGAUAAAGGUGAAUUUAAUUUAUAUCUUGAUCUAUAUAAGUUGAUUUACUGGACUAAAAAUCUAGAUAUUGGUAAAACUUUGCUAUUCUAUUCUAAAUCUAGUGUGACAUUCCAUAUUUUUUAUUCUGAUUUUAGAUAGAUCUUGAUUAGAUCUAGAUCCCAUAUGUAUAGGACUUAGCACUAGAUCUCUAGAAAUUAUUGUAUAUGAUGCUAGAUCUAGAAAAUCUAGACUUGAUCAUAGAAAUCUUCAAGAAAAAUAAUGUGCUAACCUAGACAGAUCUCUUGAAUUACAUUGUAAAUUAUCUUGUUGAAUUAUCUCCACCACCUUCAGUCAAUAGACAACUAUGGCUCAUACGAGAACAAGAGCCUCUGCGUUGGCAUCGACUAUUUUCCAAUCCUUUCUGUU